UACGAAGGGUGCGAGCGUUAAUCGGAAUUACUGGGCGUAAAGCGCGCGUAGGUGGUUUGUUAAGUUGGAAGUGAAAGCCCCGGGCUCAACCUGGGAAUUGCUUUCAAAACUGACGGGCUAGAGUACGGUAGAGGGUAGUGGAAUUUCCUGUGUAGCGGUGAAAUGCGUAGAUAUAGGAAGGAACAUCAGUGGCGAAGGCGACUGCCUGGACUGAUACUGACACUGAGGUGCGAAAGCGUGGGGAGCAAAC
RNAcentral lists this ribosomal RNA (250 nucleotides) under uncultured prokaryote. RNAcentral's name for it is "partial 16S ribosomal RNA". It matches the Rfam family "Bacterial small subunit ribosomal RNA", at positions 524 to 773 of the family's 1533-position model. The record is from RNAcentral.